UAGCGGCGAGCGAAACGGCAGGAGGGCAAACCGAGAAGUUUACUUCUCGGGGUUGUAGGACUGCGACAUGGGACUUUAAAAGGAUAGAAGAAUUACCUGGGAAGGUAAGCCAAAGAGAGUAAUAGCCUCGUAUUUAAAAUUCUUUUGAGCCCUAGCAGUAUCCUGAGUACGGCGAGACACGCGAAAUCUCGUCGGAAUCUGGGAGGACCAUCUCCCAACCCUAAAUACUCUCUAGUG
This 237-nucleotide ribosomal RNA is filed under the name Bacillus sp. EKM417B. Its description in RNAcentral is "partial 23S ribosomal RNA". It matches the Rfam family "Bacterial large subunit ribosomal RNA", at positions 244 to 482 of the family's 2925-position model. The record is from RNAcentral. Lineage: Bacteria; Bacillati; Bacillota; Bacilli; Caryophanales; Bacillaceae.